This 326-nucleotide long non-coding RNA is filed under the name Prunus persica (peach). RNAcentral describes it as "long non-coding RNA (PPER_LNC000701)". The record is from RNAcentral. Lineage: Eukaryota; Viridiplantae; Streptophyta; Magnoliopsida; Rosales; Rosaceae.
UCUUCAUCUUGUAUCAGAGUGGUGUGCUCUAGCUGUGAAAGAGUGGUGUGCUCUGACACUGUAAAGGUUUCAACUCCACCUGCAAGGAGUUUUUCCAAGAUAGUGGAUCGAACUCUCAAGUGGUGUGCUUGAGGACUGGAUGUAGGUCAGGUGGACUGAACCAGUAUAAAUUCACCCCCCUUCUAAGGUUGAUUCUAUGGGCAACAAUAUCGUACUUGUAUCCUAAUUUUUGGGCAGAGAAUAUUCAGUCUUUGGCAGGUAAAGAAUGGUAAAAUAUCCAAGCUUACUAGUUAUAGUGCAUUCUGCAGAUUAAUCACAAAAGUAAC